CAGAAUCCUCCAAGGCCAAUGGUGAGAAAAGUCAGCACACCUGAUGAGGACCCGGGGUGCGGUAGACGUCCUUGCCAUUUUUGAUGACUAAGCUCGAAGCACUCCAUGGCACCUGCUUCAGUCAUCUUCGUUGUAAUUGGAACAACUUGUUCUCUUCUGCUCAUUCUGCCCCAGGAAGUCUUCACACACUUGCAGCAGACUCCCUCCUAACUCACUGAUAGAUUUGAGACCUGUUGCUACCCUCAGAGUGAUUUAGCUCCUCACACCUUAUCGGAGUGUGGCUGCCCUUAUUAUACUUUCUUGGAGUUACAGGGCCAUCUGGGUCCAGGGAACAGAACGACUGCAGUCAUAAUCUAUAUAAUCAGCAUCUGAAUUGAAUGAUGGCCUCUGACCCUGAUGCCCCAGACAAAAAGAAUGAUUUAAGACCAAAGCAAGUACAAUGAAAUAAGAGAAAAUACUCAAAAUC
This is a long non-coding RNA of Antechinus flavipes (yellow-footed antechinus), 466 nucleotides long. RefSeq lists it as uncharacterized. The transcript has 2 exons. Lineage: Eukaryota; Metazoa; Chordata; Mammalia; Dasyuromorphia; Dasyuridae. The record is from RefSeq and is a predicted model, not a curated record.